RNAcentral lists this ribosomal RNA (435 nucleotides) under uncultured bacterium. RNAcentral's name for it is "partial 16S ribosomal RNA". It matches the Rfam family "Bacterial small subunit ribosomal RNA", at positions 28 to 507 of the family's 1533-position model. The record is from RNAcentral.
GAUGAACGCUGGCGGUAUGCUUAACACAUGCAAGUCGAACGGACUCUUCGGAGUUAGUGGCGGACGGGGGAGGAACGCGUGGGAAUCUGGCUUUGGGUUCGGGACAACCACUGGAAACGGUGGCUAAUACCGGAUGUGCCGAGAGGUAAAAGAGAAAUUGCCUGAAGAUGAGCUCGCGUCUGAUUAGCUAGUUGGUGAGGUAAAGGCUCACCAAGGCAGCGAUCAGUAGCUGGUCUGAGAGGAUGACCAGCCACACUGGGACUGAGACACGGCCCAGACUCCUACGGGAGGCAGCAGUGGGGAAUUUUCCGCAAUGGGCGAAAGCCUGACGGAGCAAUACCGCGUGAGGGAAGAAGGCUCUUGGGUUGUAAACCUCUUUUCUUAGGGAAGAACAAAAUGACGGUACCUAAGGAAUCAGCAUCGGCUAACUCCGUG